GCUGGCGGCAGGCCUAACACAUGCAAGUCGAGCGCACUCUUCGGAGUGAGCGGCGGACGGGUUAGUAACGCGUGGGAACGUACCCAGAUCUAAGGAAUAGCCACUGGAAACGGUGAGUAAUACCUUAUACGCCCUUCGGGGGAAAGAUUUAUCGGAUUUGGAUCGGCCCGCGUUAGAUUAGGUAGUUGGUGGGGUAAUGGCCUACCAAGCCUACGAUCUAUAGCUGGUUUUAGAGGAUGAUCAGCAACACUGGGACUGAGACACGGCCCAGACUCCUACGGGAGGCAGCAGUGGGGAAUCUUAGACAAUGGGCGCAAGCCUGAUCUAGACAUGCCGCGUGAGUGAUGAAGGCCUUAGGGUCGUAAAGCUCUUUCGCCUGUGAUGAUAAUGACAGUAGCAGGUAAAGAAACCCCGGCUAACUCCGUGCCAGCAGCCGCGGUAAUACGGAGGGGGUUAGCGUCGUUCGGAAUUACUGGGCGUAAAGCGCACGUAGGCGGAUUAGAAAGUUAGGGGUGAAAUCCCGGGGCUCAACCUCGGAACUGCCUCUAAAACUCCUAGUCUAGAGUUCGAGAGAGGUGAGUGGAAUUCCAAGUGUAGAGGUGAAAUUCGUAGAUAUUUGGAGGAACACCAGUGGCGAAGGCGGCUCACUGGCUCGAUACUGACGCUGAGGUGCGAAAGUGUGGGGAGCAAACAGGAUUAGAUACCCU
RNAcentral lists this ribosomal RNA (707 nucleotides) under uncultured Roseobacter sp. Its description in RNAcentral is "bacterial SSU rRNA". It matches the Rfam family "Bacterial small subunit ribosomal RNA", at positions 35 to 788 of the family's 1533-position model. The record is from RNAcentral. Lineage: Bacteria; Pseudomonadati; Pseudomonadota; Alphaproteobacteria; Rhodobacterales; Roseobacteraceae.